UACAGAGGUCCCAAGCGUUGUUCGGAUUCACUGGGCGUAAAGGGUGCGUAGGUGGCUUGGAAAGUUUGAUGUGAAAGCUCAGGGCUUAACCCUGAAAUGGCAUUGAAUACUAUCGAGCUGGAGGUUUGGAGGGGGGACUGGAAUUCUUGGUGUAGCAGUGAAAUGCGUAGAUAUCAAGAGGAACACCAGUGGCGAAGGCGAGUCCCUGGACAACACCUGACACUGAGGCACGAAAGCCGGGGGAGCAAACAGG
RNAcentral lists this ribosomal RNA (253 nucleotides) under uncultured bacterium. RNAcentral describes it as "partial 16S ribosomal RNA". It matches the Rfam family "Bacterial small subunit ribosomal RNA", at positions 524 to 776 of the family's 1533-position model. The record is from RNAcentral.